This 403-nucleotide ribosomal RNA is filed under the name uncultured bacterium. RNAcentral's name for it is "partial 16S ribosomal RNA". It matches the Rfam family "Bacterial small subunit ribosomal RNA", at positions 28 to 526 of the family's 1533-position model. The record is from RNAcentral.
GACGAACGCUGGCGGCGUGCCUAAUACAUGCAAGUCGAACGCAGUGGGGACGGGUGAGUAACACGUGGGUAACCUCCCAUCAGAGGGGAUAACACUUGGAAACAGGUGCUAAACCGAUACUGAUGGAUGGACCCGCGGUGCAUUAGCUAGUUGGUGAGGUAACGGCUCACCAAGGCCACGAUGCAUAGCCGACCUGAGAGGGGGAUCGGCCACACUGGGACUGAGACAAGGACCAGACUCCUACGGGAGGCAGCAGGGGGGAAUAUUGGAAAAUGGACGAAAGGCUGACCGAGCAAUGCCGCGUGGGUGAAGAAGGUUUUCGGAUCGUAAAGCACUUUUAGUAGAGAGGCGGUAUCUAACCAAAAAGCAACGGCUAACUACGUGCCAGCAGCCGCGGUAAUUC